CAAAUAUUUUCUAAGCCUACUGUC
This 24-nucleotide microRNA is filed under the name Prunus persica (peach). RNAcentral's name for it is "microRNA miRNA_195". The record is from RNAcentral. Lineage: Eukaryota; Viridiplantae; Streptophyta; Magnoliopsida; Rosales; Rosaceae.